RNAcentral lists this ribosomal RNA (775 nucleotides) under uncultured Neocallimastigales. RNAcentral's name for it is "partial large subunit ribosomal RNA". It matches the Rfam family "Eukaryotic large subunit ribosomal RNA", at positions 22 to 646 of the family's 3401-position model. The record is from RNAcentral. Lineage: Eukaryota; Fungi; Neocallimastigomycota; Neocallimastigomycetes; Neocallimastigales.
GUACACGCUGUGACUAGCAUAUCAAUAAGCGGAGGAAAAGAAACUAACAAGGAUUCCCUCAGUAACGGCGAGUGAAGCGGGAAGAGCUCAAAUUUGAAAUCUUAAAGGGUUUCCCUUUACGAAUUGUAGUUUAAAGAAGUGUUUUCUGUUGAGGUUUUGGUAAAAGUUCUUUGGAAUAGGACAUCAUAGAGGGUGAGAAUCCCGUAUUUGACCUUUACUUUCAACUUUGUGAUACACUUUCAAAGAGUCGGAUUGUUUGGGAAUGCAGUCCAAAAUGGGUGGUAAAUUUCAUCUAAAGCUAAAUAUUGGCGAGAGACCGAUAGCGAACAAGUACCGUGAGGGAAAGAUGAAAAGAACUUUGAAAAGAGAGUUUAACAGUACGUGAAAUUGUCAAAAGGGAAGCGUUUGACACCAGUGUUGUUUUUCUGAAAAUCAAUUAAAGAACUGUUUAUGCUAAGCUGUUUAGACUUUAUCAGCUAUCUGUUUAGUUUUGAGCUUUUCUUUAAUGCACUUUUCAGUUAACAAGUCAACAUCAAUUUCUUUUGCUGUAAAAAAGCUUGAGGAAGGUGGCUUGAGAUUCGUCUUAAGUGUUUAUAGCCUCUUGCCUCUGCAGUCGGAGAGACUGAGGUCUGCAGCGUAGACUCUUCGGGGUUAAAUAGCAUUUGUGCUAAGUUAUAGCAUUUUAUAGACAACUUGUUGACUAUGAUUUGUCUUGUAGCUUACUCGCUUAUGUUAUUUUACCUACGCUUAGGAUGUUGACGCAUGAGAUAUACGC